RNAcentral lists this ribosomal RNA (447 nucleotides) under uncultured bacterium. RNAcentral describes it as "partial 16S ribosomal RNA". It matches the Rfam family "Bacterial small subunit ribosomal RNA", at positions 329 to 792 of the family's 1533-position model. The record is from RNAcentral.
UUCCAGACUCCUACGGGAGGCAGCAGUGGGGGAUAUUGCACAAUGGGGGGAACCCUGAUGCAGCGACGCCGCGUGGGUGAAGGAGCGUUUCGGCGCGUAAAGCCCUAUCGGCAGGGAAGAAGGAGGACGGUACCUGACUAAGAAGCCCCGGCUAACUACGUGCCAGCAGCCGCGGUAAUACGUAGGGGGCAGGCGUUAUCCGGAUUUACUGGGUGUAAAGGGGGCGCAGACGGCAGCGCAAGCCAGGAGUGAAAGCCCGGGGCCCAACCCCGGGACUGCUCUUGGAACUGCGCGGCUGGAGUGCAGGAGGGGCAGGCGGAAUUCCUGGUGUAGCGGUGAAAUGCGUAGAUAUCAGGAGGAACACCAGUGGCGAAGGCGGCUUACUGGACUGUAACUGACGUUGAGGCUCGAAAGCGUGGGGAGCAAACAGGAUUAGAUACCCCUGUA